RNAcentral lists this ribosomal RNA (500 nucleotides) under uncultured bacterium. RNAcentral's name for it is "partial 16S ribosomal RNA". It matches the Rfam family "Bacterial small subunit ribosomal RNA", at positions 29 to 523 of the family's 1533-position model. The record is from RNAcentral.
AUUGAACGCUGGCGGCAUGCCUUACACAUGCAAGUCGAACGGUAACGGGUCCUUCGGGAUGCCGACGAGUGGAGAACGGGUGAGUAAUAUAUCGGAACGUGCCCAGUAGUGGGGGAUAACUGCUCGAAAGAGCAGCUAAUACCGCAUACGACCUGAGGGUGAAAGGGGGGGAUCGCAAGACCUCUCGCUAUUGGAGCGGCCGAUAUCAGAUUAGCUAGUUGGUGGGGUAAAGGCCUACCAAGGCAACGAUCUGUAGUUGGUCUGAGAGGACGACCGGCCACCCUGGGACUGUGACACGGCCCAGACUCCUAGGGGAGGCAGGAGGGGGGAAGUUUGGACAAUGGGCGCAAGCCUGAUCCAGCAAUGCCGCGUGCAGGAAGAAGGCCUUCGGGUUGUAAACUGCUUUUGUCAGGGAAGAAAUCUUCUGGGCUAAGACCCCGGGAGAAUGACGGUACCUGAAGAAUAAGCACCGGCUAACUACGUGCCAGCCGCCGCAGUAA